Molecule: ribosomal RNA, 492 nt
Filed under: uncultured bacterium
Lineage: Bacteria
Description: partial 16S ribosomal RNA
Rfam family: Bacterial small subunit ribosomal RNA
Source: RNAcentral
AGUGAACGCUGGCGGUAGGCCUAACACAUGCAAGUCGAACGGCAGCACAGUAAGAGCUUGCUCUUACGGGUGGCGAGUGGCGGACGGGUGAGGAAUACAUCGGAAUCUACUUUUUCGUGGGGGAUAACGUAGGGAAACUUACGCUAAUACCGCAUACGACCUACGGGUGAAAGCAGGGGAUCUUCGGACCUUGCGCGAUUGAAUGAGCCGAUGUCGGAUUAGCUAGUUGGCGGGGUAAAGGCCCACCAAGGCGACGAUCCGUAGCUGGUCUGAGAGGAUGAUCAGCCACACUGGAACUGAGACACGGUCCAGACGCCUAAGGGAGGCAGCAGUGGGGAAUAUUGGACAAUGGGCGCAAGCAUGAUCCAGCCAUACCGCGUGGGUGAAGAAGGCCUUCGGGUUGUAAAGACCUUUUGUUGGGAAAGAAAAGCAGCAGGUUAAUACCACGCUGUUCUGACGGUACCCAAAGAAUAAGCACCGGCUAACUUCGUG